AACGAACGCUGGCGGCGUGCCUAACACAUGCAAGUCGUGCGAGAAAGUUCCUUCGGGAGCGAGUAAAGCGGCGCACGGGUGAGUAACACGUAGGUAACCUGCCCCCCAGUCUGGAACAACUAGAGGAAACUCUAGCUAAUGCCGGAUGAGACCACGAUCCCUUCGGGGGUUGCGGCCAAAGAUGGCCUCUACUUGUAAGCUAUCGCUGAGGGAUGGGCCUGCGGGCCAUUAGCUUGUUGGUGAGGUAACGGCUCACCAAGGCUGUGAUGGCUAGCUGGUCUGAGAGGAUGACCAGCCACACUGGGACUGAGACACGGCCCAGACUCCUACGGGAGGCAGCAGUGGGGAAUAUUGCGCAAUGGGGCGAAAGCCUGACGCAGCGACGCCGCGUGGGUGAUGAAGGCCU
Molecule: ribosomal RNA, 406 nt
Filed under: uncultured bacterium
Lineage: Bacteria
Description: bacterial SSU rRNA
Rfam family: Bacterial small subunit ribosomal RNA
Source: RNAcentral